This 618-nucleotide ribosomal RNA is filed under the name uncultured bacterium. Its description in RNAcentral is "bacterial SSU rRNA". It matches the Rfam family "Bacterial small subunit ribosomal RNA", at positions 338 to 950 of the family's 1533-position model. The record is from RNAcentral.
CCUACGGGAGGCAGCAGUGGGGAAUUUUGGACAAUGGGCACAAGCCUGAUCCAGCAAUGCCGCGUGAGUGAAGAAGGCCUUCGGGUUGUAAAGCUCUUUUGUCAGGGAAGAAACGGUGGGAGCUAAUAUCUCCCGCUAAUGACGGUACCUGAAGAAUAAGCACCGGCUAACUACGUGCCAGCAGCCGCGGUAAUACGUAGGGUGCAAGCGUUAAUCGGAAUUACUGGGCGUAAAGCGUGCGCAGGCGGUUUUGUAAGUCUGUCGUGAAAGCCCCGGGCUCAACCUGGGAAUUGCGAUGGAGACUGCAAGGCUUGAAUCUGGCAGAGGGGGGUAGAAUUCCACGUGUAGCAGUGAAAUGCGUAGAGAUGUGGAGGAACACCGAUGGCGAAGGCAGCCCCCUGGGUCAAGAUUGACGCUCAUGCACGAAAGCGUGGGGAGCAAACAGGAUUAGAUACCCUGGUAGUCCACGCCCUAAACGAUGUCUACUAGUUGUCGGGUUUUAAUUAACUUGGUAACGCAGCUAACGCGUGAAGUAGACCGCCUGGGGAGUACGGUCGCAAGAUUAAAACUCAAAGGAAUUGACCGGNNGAGAGUGACGAGACGACGACGAGGGAGAGG